GAUGAACGCUAGCUACAGGCUUAACACAUGCAAGUCGAGGGGCAGCAUGGUCUUAGCUUGCUAAGGCCGAUGGCGACCGGCGCACGGGCGAGUAACACGUAUCCAACCUGCCGUCUACUCUUGGACAGCCUUCUGAAAGGAAGAUUAAUACAAGAUGGCAUCAUGAGUCCGCAUGUUCACAUGAUUAAAGGUAUUCCGGUAGACGAUGGGGAUGCGUUCCAUUAGAUAGUAGGCGGGGUAACGGCCCACCUAGUCUUCGAUGGAUAGGGGUUCUGAGAGGAAGGUCCCCCACAUUGGAACUGAGACACGGUCCAAACUCCUACGGGAGGCAGCAGUGAGGAAUAUUGGUCAAUGGGCGCAGGCCUGAACCAGCCAAGUAGCGUGAAGGAUGACUGCCCUAUGGGUUGUAAACUUCUUUUAUAAAGGAAUAAAGUCGGGUAUGUAUACCCGUUUGCAUGUACUUUAUGAAUAAGGAUCGGCUAACUCCGUG
This 490-nucleotide ribosomal RNA is filed under the name uncultured bacterium. RNAcentral describes it as "partial 16S ribosomal RNA". It matches the Rfam family "Bacterial small subunit ribosomal RNA", at positions 28 to 507 of the family's 1533-position model. The record is from RNAcentral.